RNAcentral lists this ribosomal RNA (160 nucleotides) under uncultured bacterium. Its description in RNAcentral is "partial 16S ribosomal RNA". It matches the Rfam family "Bacterial small subunit ribosomal RNA", at positions 355 to 509 of the family's 1533-position model. The record is from RNAcentral.
UGAGGAAUAUUGGUCAAUGGGCUUACGCCUGAACCAGCCAAGUCGCGUGAGGGAAGACUGCCCUAUGGGUUGUAAACCUCUUUUGUCAGGGAGCAACAACAUCUUACCGAGUAGGUGUUACGAGAGUACCUGAAGAAAAAGCAUCGGCUAACUCCGUGCC